RNAcentral lists this ribosomal RNA (465 nucleotides) under uncultured bacterium. RNAcentral's name for it is "partial 16S ribosomal RNA". It matches the Rfam family "Bacterial small subunit ribosomal RNA", at positions 28 to 507 of the family's 1533-position model. The record is from RNAcentral.
GACGAACGCUGGCGGCGUGCUUAACACAUGCAAGUCGUACGGUAAGGCCCUUUCGGGGGUACACGAGUGGCGAACGGGUGAGUAACACGUGAGUAACCUGCCCACAACUUUGGGAUAACGCUAGGAAACUGGUGCUAAUACUGGAUAUGUUCUCCUGCUGCAUGGUGGGGGUUGGAAAGCUCCGGCGGUUGUGGAUGGACUCGCGGCCUAUCAGCUUGUUGGUGGGGUAGUGGCCUACCAAGGCGGCGACGGGUAGCCGGCCUGAGAGGGUGACCGGCCACAUUGGGACUGAGAUACGGCCCAGACUCCUACGGGAGGCAGCAGUGGGGAAUAUUGCACAAUGGGCGCAAGACUGAUGCAGCAACGCCGCGUGCGGGAUGACGGCCUUCGGGUUGUAAACCGCUUUCAGCAGGGACGAAGCUUUUUGUGACGGUACCUGCAGAAGAAGCACCGGCUAACUACGUG